GCUGGGCAUGGUGACCUGUGCCUGUAAUCCCACUGACUUGGGAAGCUGAGGCAGGAGGAUGGCAAAUUUGAGGCUAUCCUGGGCAACUUAGAUCCUGUCUCAG
RNAcentral lists this small RNA (103 nucleotides) under Marmota monax (woodchuck). Lineage: Eukaryota; Metazoa; Chordata; Mammalia; Rodentia; Sciuridae. The record is from RNAcentral.